This 492-nucleotide ribosomal RNA is filed under the name uncultured bacterium. Its description in RNAcentral is "partial 16S ribosomal RNA". It matches the Rfam family "Bacterial small subunit ribosomal RNA", at positions 29 to 507 of the family's 1533-position model. The record is from RNAcentral.
AGUGAACGCUGGCGGUAGGCCUAACACAUGCAAGUCGAACGGCAGCACAGUAAGAGCUUGCUCUUACGGGUGGCGAGUGGCGGAAGGGUGAGGAAUACAUCGGAAUCUACUUUUUCGUGGGGGAUAACGUAGGGAAACUUACGCUAAUACCGCAUACGACCUACGGGUGAAAGCAGGGGAUCUUCGGACCUUGCGCGAGUGAAUGAGCCGAUGUCGGAGUAGCUAGUUGGCGGGGUAAAGGCCCACCAAGGCGACGAUCCGUAGCUGGUCUGAGAGGAUGAACAGCCACACUUGAGCUGAGACACGGUCCAGACUCCUACGGGAGGCAGCAGUGGGUACUAUUGGACGAUGGGCGCAAGCCUGAUCCAGCCAUACCGCGUGGGUGAAGAAGGCCUUCCGGUUGUAAAGCCCUUUUGUUGGGGAAGAAAAGCAGUAGGCUAAUACCCCGCUGUUCUGACGGUACCCAAAGAAUAAGCACCGGCUAACUUCGUG